RNAcentral lists this ribosomal RNA (484 nucleotides) under uncultured bacterium. RNAcentral's name for it is "bacterial SSU rRNA". It matches the Rfam family "Bacterial small subunit ribosomal RNA", at positions 30 to 507 of the family's 1533-position model. The record is from RNAcentral.
AUUGAACGCUGGCGGCAUGCCUUACACAUGCAAGUCGAACGGCAGCACGGGAGCAAUCCUGGUGGCGAGUGGCGAACGGGUGAGUAAUAUAUCGGAACGUGCCCAGUCGUGGGGGAUAACGUAGCGAAAGCUACGCUAAUACCGCAUACGAUCUAUGGAUGAAANCGGGGGAUCGCAAGACCUCGCGCGAUUGGAGCGGCCGAUAUCAGAUUAGGUAGUUGGUGAGGUAAAGGCUCACCAAGCCGACGAUCUGUAGCUGGUCUGAGAGGACGACCAGCCACACUGGAACUGAGACACGGUCCAGACUCCUACGGGAGGCAGCAGUGGGGAAUAUUGGACAAUGGGCGAAAGCCUGAUCCAGCCAUGCCGCGUGUGUGAAGAAGGUCUUCGGAUUGUAAAGCACUUUAAGUUGGGAGGAAGGGUAGUAACCUAAUACGUUGCUACUUUGACGUUACCGACAGAAUAAGCACCGGCUAACUUCGUG